RNAcentral lists this ribosomal RNA (253 nucleotides) under uncultured bacterium. Its description in RNAcentral is "partial 16S ribosomal RNA". It matches the Rfam family "Bacterial small subunit ribosomal RNA", at positions 524 to 776 of the family's 1533-position model. The record is from RNAcentral.
UACAGAGGGGGCAAGCGUUGUUCGGAAUUACUGGGCGUAAAGGGCGCGUAGGCGGCCUUCUAAGUCGAACGUGAAAUCCCCGGGCUCAACCCGGGAACUGCGUCCGAGACUGGAAGGCUUGAAUCCGGGAGAGGGAUGUGGAAUUCCAGGUGUAGCGGUGAAAUGCGUAGAUAUCUGGAGGAAUACCGGUGGCGAAGGCGGCAUCCUGGACCGACAUUGACGCUGAGGAGCGAAAGCUAGGGGAGCAAACGGG